This 253-nucleotide ribosomal RNA is filed under the name uncultured bacterium. RNAcentral describes it as "partial 16S ribosomal RNA". It matches the Rfam family "Bacterial small subunit ribosomal RNA", at positions 524 to 776 of the family's 1533-position model. The record is from RNAcentral.
UACGAAGGGGGCUAGCGUUGUUCGGAUUUACUGGGCGUAAAGCGCACGUAGGCGGAUCGUUAAGUCGGGGGUGAAAUCCUGGAGCUCAACUCCAGAACUGCCUUCGAUACUGGAGAGCUUGAGUUCGGGAGAGGUGAGUGGAACUGCGAGUGUAGAGGUGAAAUUCGUAGAUAUUCGCAAGAACACCAGUGGCGAAGGCGGCUCACUGGCCCGAUACUGACGCUGAGGUGCGAAAGCGUGGGGAGCAAACAGG